AUCCAGCUGACAAGUCCGAAUAGGACGAAACGCGCGUUCUGGAU
Schistosoma mansoni is the source of this 44-nucleotide non-coding RNA. NCBI's taxonomy places the organism in Eukaryota, Metazoa, Platyhelminthes, Trematoda, Strigeidida, Schistosomatidae. The record is from Rfam.